Molecule: non-coding RNA, 73 nt
Organism: Podarcis lilfordi (Lilford's wall lizard)
Lineage: Eukaryota; Metazoa; Chordata; Lepidosauria; Squamata; Lacertidae
Source: the annotation of a GenBank genome assembly
UCCUAGAUAGCUCAGUUGGUGGCGCAUGAGACUCUUAAUCUCAGGGUCAUGGAUUUGAGCCCCACAGUGGGCA